AGCGGCGGACGGGUGAGUUUAGCGGGGGUAACCUGCCCUAUACACACGGAUAACAUACCGAAAGGUAUGCUAAUACGAGAUAAUAUAAGAGAUUCACAUGGAUUUCUUAUCAAAGCUGAGGCGGUAUAGGAUGGACCCGCGUCUGAUUAGCUAGUUGGUAAGGUAACGGCUUACCAAGGCGACGAUCAGUAGCCGACCUGAGAGGGUGAUCGGCCACAUUGGAACUGAGACACGGUCCAAACUCCUACGGGAGGCAGCAGUGGGGAAUAUUGCACAAUGGGCGAAAGCCUGAUGCAGCAACGCCGCGUGAGUGAUGAAGGCCUUCGGGUCGUAAAACUCUGUCCUCAAGGAAGAUAAUGACGGUACUUGAGGAGGAAGCCCCGGCUAACUACGUGCCAGCAGCCGCGGUAAUACGUAGGGGGCUAGCGUUAUCCGGAUUUACUGGGCGUAAAGGGUGCGUAGGUGGUCUCUUAAGUCAGGAGUGAAAGGCUACGGCUUAACCGUAGUAAGCUCUUGAAACUGGGAGACUUGAGUGCAGGAGAGGAAAGUGGAAUUCCUAGUGUAGCGGUGAAAUGCGUAGAUAUUAGGAGGAACACCAGUAGCGAAGGCGGCUUUCUGGACUGUAACUGACACUGAGGCACGAAAGCGUGGGGAGCAAACAGGAUUAGAUACCCUGGUAGUCCACGCCGUAAACGAUGAGUACUAGGUGU
Molecule: ribosomal RNA, 710 nt
Filed under: uncultured bacterium
Lineage: Bacteria
Description: bacterial SSU rRNA
Rfam family: Bacterial small subunit ribosomal RNA
Source: RNAcentral